This is a long non-coding RNA of Aedes albopictus (Asian tiger mosquito), 2378 nucleotides long. RefSeq lists it as uncharacterized. Lineage: Eukaryota; Metazoa; Arthropoda; Insecta; Diptera; Culicidae. The record is from RefSeq and is a predicted model, not a curated record. The transcript is spliced from 3 exons.
ACUUUUUUUUGAAUACACCAUACUAUAUUUUUGUAACGCUCAGUCGUACAUGGUACAAUGAAGCUUUAGUUAUUGAAAGUAAUCAUAUGUUCAAGGACAUAGGACCUGGAACCAUUUUGACAGGGAGACUCAUUUUGGGCACCCUACAUGAAAAUUUACUUAAUUUGUUGCACGGUGUGCAACGAAUAGUAUUUGUCUGUAAAUACCCAUGUCUGGCGGGUUUGGCUUUUGCUAUAACUUAGUCAAUUUUCAGCCGAUUUUCAUGAAACUUUGUACACAUGUAGGCACCAUAAGUACUAUUCGUGUACAAAAUUUCAUGAGAAUCGCUCGAAAAUUGACUGAGUUAUAGCAAAAACCAGACCCGUGCAAAAAAAAACAAUCGGGUGUAAUUAAUUACUAUGAAGCUGGCCGAGUUAUAGCUGAAAGUGCAAAAAUAGGUCCUCUGCCCAAAUGGCCCAGUCCCAGUAAUAAUCGUGUAUAAUAAUUGCCAAACUCGCUGCCGAAAAUAGCAUAAGUUCAUCUACUCGAAACAAAAAAUAAAAUGAAUGUCUACUUUCUAUUCUGUGUUUUAGGUCGCCAAAUUGAAAUUCAUCGUACCGUCGGAUGCAUCGUUUGAAAUGAUCAAAAGCGAUUGGGUAAAAACAUUCGAAACCCGAAACGUUUUGCGAAAAUCGACACCGGAUGAUAUCGUACAGGCGAUUCUAGAGACGUUUACACUAUCUACUGCGUUUGAUGGUUGUUUGAUUGAAAUGGAUUUUGCUGCUAUGUUCCCUGAGCAGACAUGUCCCAUGGAAAAAUGGAAUGCGAUGGAGGAAACAAUUCUCGAGAAAUUCAAACAUCUUUACCCAACCGUUGGCAAUAAGUUCAUCCGGUCGCUGCUCGUAAUCAAGGACAGAAAUCCCUCACGAGGCGCAAAACGGGCAAUCAAAGGUCCACAAAAAAUCUCGAACAUGCUUGAAAGAAUCGUCGAGUGGAUAAAUGUAUGUAUAAUUUAGGUUUAUUUAGUUUUUGUUUGUUCGCAGAACAACAAUUUAUUUUAUAGUUUGUUCCACAGGCAAACAAAUGUAACACUCUUCUUUUUUAUUGUUUGUAUUUGCGAAACUUGAUUAGAAAUAACCGAUAGAGUUUUCGUGAUGAUGAUUUUUCGCAAUUUGUUCUGAGCUUACAUCUGUUUGUCUGUGAUUUAUAUUGCGCAUUUCCCACCUCACCGGCCCCUUUCGUAGUUAUUAUAAGUGCGGAAUCGUGGAUAAAACUGUACAUUCGCAUUGAAUCGUGAUGGAGUCUUCUGCGCACUUAUGCAUUAUAAGUUUUGUAUUAUAACUUAUACAAACUGGACAGGAUCCAGUGGGGUGGGAUAUGCACAAUAUAAUAAGCGGAAUAUAGUUAGCACCCUACAUUAUCAUCAUGAAUUUUCAGCUAUUCAAUACAAAUUGUUAGUAAGUUCAACACUAUUGAUGAAAUAAAAAAAAACUGGGGUGUUUUGGGUUGGCCAAACUUCAUACUUCAACCCGUACUAAAACAAAAAUCAUCGUUGUAGGGUGGGGCGGGGCAAGAUGGGUCACCUAAGGAUGGAUCACCAUAACUUUGUAAAUACAAGUCGUAUUGGUUUGUAUUCAUCUGCUUCUCUUUAAUACACUAGCUAGCUAUGCUAAAAGUCGGUUAAAAGUUCAUUAAAUACAAAAUAUGAUGUUAAACAAGCAGUUUUCAAAAGUGAUCGAUUUUGCGCCUUGAAAAAAAGUGCGGGACAAGAUGGGUCACGUUGUAAGUAAUACACAUUUUCUCAACGAAAAACGUCAAAAUAUAAUAUUUGUUCCACAUUCAUAUUCUCCAUAUCCAUAGUGAGUGAACAAGUACUAGUAGUAAACAUUUUAUAAAUUUAUUUGGAAUAUAAAAAAACUUUAAGAUUUGAGUGGUCCUAAGGCGACUUGAAAAUCGAUGUUUUCAUUAAAAAUUAUCAUAAUUUUAUGUUCUAAUUUUGAGCGUUCAUUCCGCUUGAUUGAAGUCAUUUGUGAGAUAGUCUCGUACUAAAAAAAAUAACUUUUUAAUGCUCCAAAAAUACGUUCAAAAUUGAAGGUGACCCAUCUUGUCCCGCGGCCGUUUAUAUGGAGAUUAUAUAGAAUAUAUCGCAUAAGAAAAAUGGCUAAAAACCAUUUUAUUGUUUAUUUCCAAUGAGAGAGAAUAAUUUUUCAAUCAAUGCCCCAAACUUUUGUAUAAGGUACACCGGGGCAAGUUGAAACGGGUGGGGCAAGAUGAAACAGCGGGUGAACAUGAUGUUUUCAAAUGAUAAUAAACAAUUUGAUUGCACAUAGUUUUUGAUUCAAACAAUCUUUUAACGAAGGGUAAAUUUCCAAAUUAUAUUGAAAUCUAUUUCAAAACUU